AAAAGCUUGUGUCACUUCAGAUUUCGACCUGGCCUGUAAAGACGCUGAUGCUGCUCAGGUUGCUGUUUGAAAAACACACACCCUGAUCAGGGACCGACUGGCCUCACAUAGCAGAUGACCUCCAGUAGAAGACCUCCUGUCUGGGAGACUGUGAUCUACAUCAACUAGCCGCACGCAAUGAAUCUUGUGGAUAGGCUGGGCAACGAAGGAUCCACCUUCCAUACCGAUCCACCCCUUCAUUUCCCAGGAAAAGAAGGACACAUUUCUCGGUCGUGUUUGAAGAAGCCUUGGAAAUGCAGCAGUCUAGUGGAGCUGCUGUGACGCAAUCGGUCUUCAAAUGCAGCCCACGGAGGAUGCAGCCCCUGAACUGAGACACAGCUAGAGAUUCUCUUAUGACCCAAUUGUCUACUAUAGGAGAAAGACUGUUUUGCCGUAGUAGACAGUCGGGCUGCAACAUUAGGAAGUGUCGCUUCAACUAUCACUGCUUAAAAGACCCUAAUGUCUGAAUGUUGCACCUUAGCUAUUCAGAUUAUUCAGAGUGCCUUUUUGUGUCCAUGUUCUCAUCAUUUAUUCUAUCACACAUUCAUUAACUUGACUAGAGAGCAGGCUGACAAAAUCUUUGCAUUUUAAAGUUGUGUUAAUUUCCAGCAGAACUACACAAAAAGCAGAAAAAACACAAUUCUGACCCAUUAGCAUUCAUAAUUCAUAAUUAUCCUCCCUUUUUAGCUCUGUUUUUGGUCUCUACCUACUCCUGAGGGAAAUAUCUGCUCCAUGAUCCACUGUAUUCACCGCCUGGUCUUUAACCGUGUCUGUCCUCUGUGCACCACAAAACCAAAACUAGGCGUUAAACGAGGCUAAAAAAGGUCGGUGAUGAUUCUCUGUGGAUUUGUCUCUGUGGCUCUGUUCACAUGAAAUGUUCUGCAGUCAGUUGAUUCAUUGUCAAUAUAACAUAAAAUGAUUGUCAGUCACAAGAUGUUAACAUGUAAAGGAAAAGGGAUGAAACUACAAAUUCAGUUCAGGUGGAUUAAAUGUGAAGCUGGCCGACAGAGCAGAGCAGGUACGCACAGUUCACCUCUGCAGCAUGACGGUGUAGCGGUGAAUUAUUUAACAGCUGUUCAACCUUUACAAAUGGCUCUGACCUCCUGCUGGUCCCCUCCAUCACCACAAACACCGCAGUCUGGAGGGACAGACGCUACCAGUCUCCUACAACUGGGUUCUGUCUUUUUUCCCGGAGUUUCUCUUUUCUAUUUCUUCUCCUCUUUUACUUCCUUUCCUCUCAUUCCCUCCGUCCCCUCCCUCCAUCCUGAGGUGAAUGUGAAAAUGUAGAAUAAGCCAACAUCUGUGUCUUUCUUUAAAACACAAAAUCAAACUCUAAAACAUGACAAAGCUUGUGGUACAACCGUGGGCCAAAUCCGUCCCUCCUUUGUCUUUCUCCUCAGAGACUUGCCUACAGCCCGAGUCCAGACCUGCAGAGUGAGUGCUUAAUUAUUCCCUCUGAUGCUCCCUCAGAUGGGUGGGGCCUCAUAACUAAUUAGGAGCAGUUUGUGCAGGAGAUGAAAAGAAAACACACACAGUCUCACCUGCUGGGUAGCCCUGGUUAAUAAUUCAAACAGACCCUCAGGCUGACUCCCACAGACAGCAGGUAUAUUCCUGUGUAGGUACAGUACAGACACACAGCUGCAAGAUUAUAGGAAAUAUAAGAUUAUCCCACUUCGUCUGCUCUGAUGUAGUGGUGAAUUACUGAGUUUCUCACAAUAAAAGUAGAGGUUUUUUUUGUGCUUUCAACAUAUAUUUCAUUUUUGCUUCUUUCUUGUUUUUAUUCUGUCUUACUUUUUACAUAUUUAAUUGCAGAAUUUAAAGACAAAACCUGCAUGUCGAAAUCAAAAGACUGUGUGCAUUUCUCUGUGGACUGAGCGCUUUGAUACUUUCACAGUAUUAAUAUAGAAGCUAGACUUGCUUUAUAAUCAAACAACACAUGGAAAUGUCACAUUACACACUAUGGGACCUUUAACUGUUAACACAAAUUACAGCAUUAAUACUAAUCUUUAAUAUCUAUAUCACCUUAUAUGCAUUAUUUGGUGCAGAAGUCAAACCUCUUGCUCGCAGUUUUCCCUCUUCUACAACAAAGAUCUGCACCUACAUUCAAGUGCAGCAGCAGUAAAAAGUGAAGGUACUCAGCUUAAUAGAAAUCUAAGCUGCUCUGUACCAGCUGUGUAAGGUCCCAGUUUAAGCACUGAUCACAAUGUGAUACGUGGUUUUCACUAGACAUAAAUAAUGGUGUUAAACUGGUGGAUUAUUUUUGCCCAGGACCAGAUGUCGUCAUAAGCUGUUUGGUUUAUGCUGAUAAAUAUACAAUGUUCAUUAACUAUAGAUCCACACAUCUGCACUCAUUCUUAUAUGAAUGAUAACGUGUAUGUGUGUGUUUCAUUUUGCAUGACGUCAAACCAGGCAUCUGCUGCUGUUGCCGUGGUGAUGCCAUACCAUAAUGAGGCCCCUUUAAGACCACACACUGCUGCCGCUGCUGGCAGUCCACUUCAGCUCUGCUCUCACAUUAAACAGCACAUGUGACAACGAACACCUGGAGCCUCGUCAAUAAAACUGACUCAUGAUCAGGUUUCAACAGAAAUCCACGAUCACGUGAUCCGUCACUGAGUCAGUGAAGGUUUUAUCCCUGUGACCAGUUUUCUGUCAAUGUUUUUCAAAAGACUCUCAGGCCUUGUUUGAGUCUCUGAAGACACUUCCAACAUUAUCCCAGAGUCUCGGCUGGAGCACUCGGCUCUGGUUUUGGUCUCAAGCCCGGUGUGGACCAGCGUUACCACUGCAGCAUUACUGGUCACAGCUUCCAGUUUCCCACCAUGAAACUAAACACCAGGUCUUUGCAACAUAACAGCCUACACUUGGUCUGAGAACAGGAACUUGUUGGUGGUUUAUAUGUCAAGAUGUGAGACUAAAGGGGGCGGAGCCUUGCUGUCCUUGCUGCCGUCUGGAACAAACCUGCCUCAGACUUACAACGUCAGUAUCUUCUUUUGAAUCACUGUCACAAAACUUUUGAAUAAUCUCUUAAAUAUUUCACAUAUUUUUACAUUGUUCAUGUCUGUUUCUAUUUUUACUGUGAUUUUAUUUUUAUUUUGAUUAAUUUGCAUGUGUUUUGUUAUUUUAUCCUUGUGAAGUACUUUGUAUUCCAUGAUUUUUAUAAGUGCUAUAUAAAUACAUUUUAUUGUUAUUAUCAUUAUUAUUAUUAUUAUCUUAGCAGUACUGUUUCCUUUGUAUUUCAAACUUCUCUAAAUUCAAAGGAAUGUGCAGAAGCAUCUGACACUUAUUUCAAAUUUGGACAGGACAUAAGCCCUAGACGAGUUUCUUACCUCACCUGCAAAUCCACUUCAUAAAUAAAACUAUAUACAGUGCAUUUGGAAUGU
This is a long non-coding RNA of Seriola aureovittata, 3416 nucleotides long. RefSeq lists it as uncharacterized. NCBI's taxonomy places the organism in Eukaryota, Metazoa, Chordata, Actinopteri, Carangiformes, Carangidae. The record is from RefSeq and is a predicted model, not a curated record. The transcript is spliced from 3 exons.